UGCUCUUUGUAGUAUUAUAGAUAGAGAGUCGGACCUGCCCAGUGAAGUAUUUUCAACGGCCGCGGUACUCUGACCGUGCAAAGGUAGCAUAAUCAUUUGCCUUAUAAUUGAAGGCUUGUAUGAAUGGUUUGACAAGAAUAGAUCUGUCUCUUUAUAAUUAACUAAAAUUUUAUUUAUAGGUGAAGAAGCCUAUAUAAAAUUGAAAGACAAGAAGACCCUAUCGAGCUUUAAAGUAAUUAAUAAGCUUAAAAUCAUAUUUAUAUUGAGCUAGUUGUUAAAAAUUUUAGUUGGGGCGACUAAGGAACAAACAAAGCUUCCUUAAAACUUCAAUACUUGCAAGUUUAGAUCCAAAUUUUUGAUCAAAGGAAUUAGUUACCGUAGGGAUAACAGCAUUAUCUUUUUUAAGAGCUCAAAUCGAAAAAAAGGUUUGUGACCUCGAUGUUGGACCAGAAUGUCCUAAAGAUGCAGCCGUCUUUAAGGGUUGGUCUGUUCGACCAUUAAAAUUCUACGUGAUCUGAGUUCAGACCGGCGUGAGCCAGGUCAGUUUCUAUCUUCAAUUUUUUUAGCGUGGACUUAGUACGAAAGGAUUAGUCUAUAGUAAAAAUUAUUAUGUUUGAUAAAGUAUAAGAUAAAAUUCAAUGAAUUAGUUUUAAUCAAAUUGGCAGAGAUAAUGCAAUUGAUUUAGGAUCAAUAGACAUAGGUGAAAAUCCUUUAUUUGAUAUUAUAAAGGUGGCAGAUAAA
Molecule: ribosomal RNA, 741 nt
Filed under: Drupella fragum
Lineage: Eukaryota; Metazoa; Mollusca; Gastropoda; Neogastropoda; Muricidae
Description: partial 16S ribosomal RNA
Rfam family: Bacterial large subunit ribosomal RNA (bases 1-575)
Source: RNAcentral